GCCUGAGUGGCUCAGUUGGUUGAGCGUCUGACUUCGGCUCGGGUCAUGAUCUCACGGUUCGUGAGUUCGAGCCCCGCGUCGGGCU
Molecule: transfer RNA, 85 nt
Filed under: Felis catus (domestic cat)
Lineage: Eukaryota; Metazoa; Chordata; Mammalia; Carnivora; Felidae
Rfam family: tRNA
About the family: Transfer RNA (tRNA) molecules are approximately 80 nucleotides in length. Their secondary structure includes four short double-helical elements and three loops (D, anti-codon, and T loops).
Source: Rfam by way of RNAcentral